CAAUAGCGUAUAUUAAAGUUGUUGCAGUUAAAAAGCUCGUAGUUGGAUUUCUGGUAGGAGUGACCGUUCCGAACUUGAUUGUUCGUGUAUUGUGUUUUCUCCAGCCAUCCUUGUGGAGAACUUUUCUUGCAUUAAUUUGUAGGGAUUGGGACCCGCAUCGUUUACUGUGAAAAAAUUAGAGUGUUUAAAGCAGGCAAUCGCUUGAAUACAUUAGCAUGGAAUAAUAAGAUAGGACUUUGGUACUAUUUUGUUGGUUUGCGCACCAAAGUAAUGAUUAAUAGGGACAGUUGGGGGUAUUCGUAUUCCGUUGUCAGAGGUGAAAUUCUUGGAUUUACGGAAGACGAACUACUGCGAAAGCAUUUACCAAGGAUGUUUUCAUUAA
This 382-nucleotide ribosomal RNA is filed under the name uncultured eukaryote. RNAcentral's name for it is "partial 18S ribosomal RNA". It matches the Rfam family "Eukaryotic small subunit ribosomal RNA", at positions 592 to 976 of the family's 1831-position model. The record is from RNAcentral.